UAACAUUUAAUAAUAAAAAAACGACGAAGCCGAUUGUUGGAACUUUACCAUUAGCGAAUCCAAUUUACCAUCAGUAUUAUGACUAGUAAAGGUAGUUCGCAAAAAUCAGUAAAAUUACCAUUACAAGAAACCAUGGAAUCCUGGCUGGCCGAGUUUCCAGAGUUGGUAUUGGAAGGAAGUACACUUAAAUGCACAACUUGUAACAUGACCCUGACCUGUAAAACAAGAUCAGGUAUUGUGAAGCACCGCUCUCGAGAGAAACAUAAAACAUUAAGUUUGAGCAAAUCAAAUGCCACUGAUCGACAAAAGAAUUUCAACAAGGAGCUUGUAAAAUUCAUGGACGGCUGCAAAAUUCCUUGGAAGCGAUUAGAGAGUCCUUGUUUUCGAAAGUUUAUUAAAAAGUGCAUUUCUGGUAAGUUUGGUAAUGUGCAAAUACCUUCAGAAACAUCUUUUAAGAAGUUUAUUAUUAUAAAAAAAGAGGGUACUUCAAAAAAACACGGGAAAGCAAAUGUAACUCCCAAAAAAA
Long non-coding RNA from Agrilus planipennis (emerald ash borer), 526 nucleotides. RefSeq lists it as uncharacterized. The record is from RefSeq and is a predicted model, not a curated record. The transcript has 2 exons. Lineage: Eukaryota; Metazoa; Arthropoda; Insecta; Coleoptera; Buprestidae.